GCAGACUCACUCUGUUCCCUGCUGCUCGCUCCAGCCGGGAACUUUUUCUGUCUGCGACAUGAACGUGCAGAAUGUGACAUUUUUACUGGCUUUGUAGAAAGCUGGUGUCAACGUGUUCUGCUACAUUAGA
Small nucleolar RNA from Salarias fasciatus (jewelled blenny), 130 nucleotides. Ensembl annotates it as small nucleolar RNA, H/ACA box 77B. Lineage: Eukaryota; Metazoa; Chordata; Actinopteri; Blenniiformes; Blenniidae. The record is from Ensembl.